GGUUAAGCGACUAAGCGUACACGGUGGAUGCCCUGGCAGUCAGAGGCGAUGAAGGACGUGCUAAUCUGCGAUAAGCGUCGGUAAGGUGAUAUGAACCGUUAUAACCGGCGAUUUCCGAAUGGGGAAACCCAGUGUGAUUCGUCACACUAUCAUUAACUGAAUCCAUAGGUUAAUGAGGCGAACCGGGGGAACUGAAACAUCUAAGUACCCCGAGGAAAAGAAAUCAACCGAGAUUCCCCCAGUAGCGGCGAGCGAACGGGGAGGAGCCCAGAGCCUGAAUCAGUGUGUGUGUUAGUGGAAGCGUCUGGAAAGGCGCGCGAUACAGGGUGACAGCCCCGUACACAAAAAUGCACAUAUUGUGAGCUCGAUGAGUAGGGCGGGACACGUGGUAUCCUGUCUGAAUAUGGGGGGACCAUCCUCCAAGGCUAAAUACUCCUGACUGACCGAUAGUGAACCAGUACCGUGAGGGAAAGGCGAAAAGAACCCCGGCGAGGGGAGUGAAAAAGAACCUGAAACCGUGUACGUACAAGCAGUGGGAGCCUCUUUAUGGGGUGACUGCGUACCUUUUGUAUAAUGGGUCAGCGACUUAUAUUCUGUAGCAAGGUUAACCGAAUAGGGGAGCCGAAGGGAAACCGAGUCUUAACUGGGCGUUAAGUUGCAGGGUAUAGACCCGAAACCCGGUGAUCUAGCCAUGGGCAGGUUGAAGGUUGGGUAACACUAACUGGAGGACCGAACCGACUAAUGUUGAAAAAUUAGCGGAUGACUUGUGGCUGGGGGUGAAAGGCCAAUCAAACCGGGAGAUAGCUGGUUCUCCCCGAAAGCUAUUUAGGUAGCGCCUCGUGAAUUCAUCUCCGGGGGUAGAGCACUGUUUCGGCAAGGGGGUCAUCCCGACUUACCAACCCGAUGCAAACUGCGAAUACCGGAGAAUGUUAUCACGGGAGACACACGGCGGGUGCUAACGUCCGUCGUGAAGAGGGAAACAACCCAGACCGCCAGCUAAGGUCCCAAAGUCAUGGUUAAGUGGGAAACGAUGUGGGAAGGCCCAGACAGCCAGGAUGUUGGCUUAGAAGCAGCCAUCAUUUAAAGAAAGCGUAAUAGCUCACUGGUCGAGUCGGCCUGCGCGGAAGAUGUAACGGGGCUAAACCAUGCACCGAAGCUGCGGCAGCGACACUAAGUGUUGUUGGGUAGGGGAGCGUUCUGUAAGCCUGUGAAGGUGUGCUGUGAGGCAUGCUGGAGGUAUCAGAAGUGCGAAUGCUGACAUAAGUAACGAUAAAGCGGGUGAAAAGCCCGCUCGCCGGAAGACCAAGGGUUCCUGUCCAACGUUAAUCGGGGCAGGGUGAGUCGACCCCUAAGGCGAGGCCGAAAGGCGUAGUCGAUGGGAAACAGGUUAAUAUUCCUGUACUUGGUGUUACUGCGAAGGGGGGACGGAGAAGGCUAUGUUGGCCGGGCGACGGUUGUCCCGGUUUAAGCGUGUAGGCUGGUUUUCCAGGCAAAUCCGGAAAAUCAAGGCUGAGGCGUGAUGACGAGGCACUACGGUGCUGAAGCAACAAAUGCCCUGCUUCCAGGAAAAGCCUCUAAGCAUCAGGUAACAACAAAUCGUACCCCAAACCGACACAGGUGGUCAGGUAGAGAAUACCAAGGCGCUUGAGAGAACUCGGGUGAAGGAACUAGGCAAAAUGGUGCCGUAACUUCGGGAGAAGGCACGCUGAUAUGUAGGUGAAGCGACUUGCUCGUGGAGCUGAAAUCAGUCGAAGAUACCAGCUGGCUGCAACUGUUUAUUAAAAACACAGCACUGUGCAAACACGAAAGUGGACGUAUACGGUGUGACGCCUGCCCGGUGCCGGAAGGUUAAUUGAUGGGGUUAGCGGUAACGCGAAGCUCUUGAUCGAAGCCCCGGUAAACGGCGGCCGUAACUAUAACGGUCCUAAGGUAGCGAAAUUCCUUGUCGGGUAAGUUCCGACCUGCACGAAUGGCGUAAUGAUGGCCAGGCUGUCUCCACCCGAGACUCAGUGAAAUUGAACUCGCUGUGAAGAUGCAGUGUACCCGCGGCAAGACGGAAAGACCCCGUGAACCUUUACUAUAGCUUGACACUGAACAUUGAGCCUUGAUGUGUAGGAUAGGUGGGAGGCUUUGAAGUGUGGACGCCAGUCUGCAUGGAGCCGACCUUGAAAUACCACCCUUUAAUGUUUGAUGUUCUAACGUUGGCCCCUUAUCGGGGUUGCGGACAGUGUCUGGUGGGUAGUUUGACUGGGGCGGUCUCCUCCUAAAGAGUAACGGAGGAGCACGAAGGUUGGCUAAUCCUGGUCGGACAUCAGGAGGUUAGUGCAAUGGCAUAAGCCAGCUUGACUGCGAGCGUGACGGCGCGAGCAGGUGCGAAAGCAGGUCAUAGUGAUCCGGUGGUUCUGAAUGGAAGGGCCAUCGCUCAACGGAUAAAAGGUACUCCGGGGAUAACAGGCUGAUACCGCCCAAGAGUUCAUAUCGACGGCGGUGUUUGGCACCUCGAUGUCGGCUCAUCACAUCCUGGGGCUGAAGUAGGUCCCAAGGGUAUGGCUGUUCGCCAUUUAAAGUGGUACGCGAGCUGGGUUUAGAACGUCGUGAGACAGUUCGGUCCCUAUCUGCCGUGGGCGCUGGAGAACUGAGGGGGGCUGCUCCUAGUACGAGAGGACCGGAGUGGACGCAUCACUGGUGUUCGGGUUGUCAUGCCAAUGGCACUGCCCGGUAGCUAAAUGCGGAAGAGAUAAGUGCUGAAAGCAUCUAAGCACGAAACUUGCCCCGAGAUGAGUUCUCCCUGACCCUUUAAGGGUCCUGAAGGAACGUUGAAGACGACGACGUUGAUAGGCCGGGUGUGUAAGCGCAGCGAUGCGUUGAGCUAACCGGUACUAAUGAACCGUGAGGCUUAACCUU
RNAcentral lists this ribosomal RNA (2904 nucleotides) under Escherichia fergusonii. RNAcentral's name for it is "23S ribosomal RNA". It matches the Rfam family "Bacterial large subunit ribosomal RNA". RNAcentral also lists the same sequence under 1 other name. Lineage: Bacteria; Pseudomonadati; Pseudomonadota; Gammaproteobacteria; Enterobacterales; Enterobacteriaceae. The record is from RNAcentral.